AUGGAGGCCCUUUUUGUGCUGGAGCAGGAGCUCGUCCGGGACCCGCACCAUGGCAUGCUUGCCGCCGUCCUCGGCAGCAAGCAGGCGGCCGAGGACGCCAUCCUCUACAGCUACAUGUACGGCUUUUCCGGCUUCGCCGCCGUGCUCACCAACGCGCAGGUGGCGCAGCUCUCCGAUUUGCGUGGGUUUGUGCGGGUGGUUCGGAACCGGGUGCUUGAUGUGCACACCACCAGGAGCUGGGACUUCAUGCGGGUGAACCCAUCGCCAGCUGGCGGGAGCAGAAUCCUCUCUGGCAGCAGGUUCGGGGAGGAAUCCAUCAUCGGUGUGCUAGACACAGGGAUAUGGCCGGAGUCAGCCAGCAUUAGAGACGACGGCAUCGGCGAGGUUCCAUGGCGGUGGAAAGGGCAAUGCGUCGCCGGAGAAAGGUUCAAUUCUUCCAACUGCAACAGAUUUACUAUGGAGUUCGAAAUCGCGAACAUCUGA
Molecule: ribosomal RNA, 483 nt
Filed under: Triticum aestivum (bread wheat)
Lineage: Eukaryota; Viridiplantae; Streptophyta; Magnoliopsida; Poales; Poaceae
Description: partial small subunit ribosomal RNA
Source: RNAcentral